AAAACUUACCGGGUCAAGACAUGGGCGUGAUUGACAGGCUAAUGACUUUUCUCGAUUCCAUGGAUGGUGGUGCAUGGUCGCACUUAGUUGGUGCAGUGAUUUGUCAGGUUUAUUCCGGUAACGAACGAGACCUCGGCCUUGUAAAUAGCUAUGCUGCUUACAGGGACAUUGGCGGCUACGCCAAGGAAGCUCGAGGCAAUUGCAGAUCUGGAAUGCCCUUAGAUGCCCUGGGUCGCACGCGUGCUACAAUGACGCCACGAACGAGCUUGCGUGAUGAAAGUUACGCAUAAUCAGCAGUCGGCGUCUUAAGGGAUAGUCUCUUGUAACUGUGGGACUCCAACUAGGAAUGUCUCGUAAGCACAAGUCAACAUCUUGUGUUGAUUACGUCCCUGCUCUUUGUACACACCGCCCGUCGCUCCUACCGAUCGAGUGUUUAGGUGAAUUUGAUGGACGUAAGGAAGUCAAAUAAACCUGAGCACUAGAGAAGAGAAGUCGACAUG
This 500-nucleotide ribosomal RNA is filed under the name uncultured Myrionecta. Its description in RNAcentral is "bacterial SSU rRNA". It matches the Rfam family "Eukaryotic small subunit ribosomal RNA", at positions 1210 to 1798 of the family's 1831-position model. The record is from RNAcentral. Lineage: Eukaryota; Ciliophora; Litostomatea; Cyclotrichida; Mesodiniidae.